GUACUUUUUUUCUGGCCUUUAAAUCUUGUUCAACUUGACAAAGUCGUUCACGUUCUGUUUUUAGUGGAUUAUUGUCAGCAUCCCAUAUACCUUUCAUAACUUCUACUAAGGCUAAAGCUUCCUUUGUCACGGCAUCUUUUACUUCAUUUUUCCUUAUAAAAAUUUUCUCUUUUAUUUUUGAGUAGAAGAUAUUUUUCUUCGUAUACUUUGUUUAAUUUCUCGUAUUGAAAUGGUCGGAUUAAACAAGAGGCACAUACGGAUUUGUCGCAAAUAAGGCAGUAUGUAACACAUUUCGAUCCAUAUGUUUCGAACAUGCAAUCUCCUUCAAGUACACUUGGUCCGAGACCACAAUUAUUUCGUAGUGCAUUUCUUUUAGAACAGAAAUGAAAAUAAAAAAAAUCCCACCUGCGCUUUCUCAAAGAAACUUU
This 428-nucleotide long non-coding RNA is filed under the name Mytilus galloprovincialis (Mediterranean mussel). Lineage: Eukaryota; Metazoa; Mollusca; Bivalvia; Mytilida; Mytilidae. The record is from RNAcentral.